Entelurus aequoreus (snake pipefish) is the source of this 1372-nucleotide long non-coding RNA. RefSeq lists it as uncharacterized. Lineage: Eukaryota; Metazoa; Chordata; Actinopteri; Syngnathiformes; Syngnathidae. The transcript is spliced from 3 exons. The record is from RefSeq and is a predicted model, not a curated record.
UGACUACACACUCCCUCAGGGAUGUCCAACAAAAAAAAGGAAAAAAAAAGGAAGCCUCUCAACGAGGGUAUCAUGUGUCUGUCCAUGUGUGGAAAUGGCAUUAACCGCAGAAAAUUGGGAAGACUCCUACAGAACCUGCAAUGGCACACUUAUUGGAUCUGAUGUAACAGUGAUCGUGACCCUGGUACUCUGGCUUCCUCCCAGAUAUGGAUGGGUACCCAACUCUGUACUGAAUUGGCAACGGUGAGUUUGAUAGGUAAGCCAUCAGACAUGUUUUUUUAAUCAAUUGUCUUAUCCAGUGGCAAACUGUUGUCAAGCUGUUGCCACUCUCUACUUUGUCCUCCAUCUUGUAAACACGGCGGUGUGUGUGUUGUUACAGCAAGCGAGAGUCAAAGAUGCAGAUAUGCAUAAUUGAAGAAACCUGAUCCAACAGAUGUGCUUAGUGGUUAGCCAGAGAGGUUGUAAAAUCAGUCUUUUACAAGAUGACAAAUUGGAUGGUACUGACGCUACCUCGGCGACAUGUUUUGAGACAAAUGAUUUUGCUUGGACAAUAAACACACCUUUGAUCAGCACACCACAGACAUUCAAAAAAGAAGUCAACAAAGACUGUCAGCCAUCCGAAAACUCAAAGGACUAUAUGUUGCACCUCAUCUCCUGUUAUUACUUUACCAAAGCAUUGUUCAACCCAUCCUUAUGUACUGUUCCACAUGUUUUUUCACCAUGCUUUCUGUAACCAACCGGACCAAACUCACACGCAUUACAAACAUAGCAGCUAAAAUCAUCGGCCUACCCACACCCAACAUUUCAGACUUAAACCACAGGUCCAUCAGUCGACUGGCAAAAACAAUAGUCCAGGAUAUCACUCACCCACUACACCAAUACAUCAUCCCACUACCAUCAGGGCGCAGGUACAGAACCAUCAAAUUCCGGAGGGCCCGCCUCAGGAAAAGCCUUAUCCCUGCAGCUAUAGCCGCCCUUAACAGCAGGCCCAGCCGACCUGUCUGACAAGCAUGUAAAUGUGUGUUGGUCAUGUAGGAUGUCUUUUUUUGUUAUUUUUGUUUUUGUGAUGUGUAAUGUCUAUUGUUCAAAUGUACGGGAGUGAAAAGGAAUUUCCCCAAGGAGACCAAUAAAUCUAAAUCUAAUCUAAUCUAAAGGUUCUGCUAUAAACACACAAUGUAAGGCAGGGGUCUUUGAUGCUCCCAGGUAUUCACCUUGUUGGAGGGACAGAUGAAUAAAGGUGGUCCUGGACGUUCCUAGAAAUAAUGAGGGAACAAAAUCUAAAUUAUUUUUGAAAAAAUGUGUGGAGCUGAAUUUUCCCUGAAAUAUGCAUCAAGGCUAUAAAGUGUGCUUACCUGAUUAAUUGAACAAAAUA